CUCCCUCGCUCGUUCCUCAUCCCCUCCUCCCGCAGCCGCCCCAAUCCGGCGACGGCUACGACGGUGGCUGCGGCGGCUCCCGCGCUGCGUUCUUCCUCCCCCAGCACGUCUCCUCUCCUCCCACGCCGGAUCUGAACGAGCCACCGUGGUCAGGCAGCAGAGCCCCUUUCUUCGCACUCUUUUCCCUCGAUCUGCCGUGACCACCCUCCUCCUCCCCAUCCUCUCCCAUGGCCACCCUCCUCCUCCGCGUCCUCUCGUUCUCCUCUCCGACAUUCGUUGACGAGGCGUCAGAACUGACGGAGCAGUGGCGCCGUCGAGCGGGGGUACGGGCACGAUGCAGACCCUAGCCGUGUGUCCGUAGGGUUCAUCAUCGUGCGGCCGUCGUCCUCGUGUUUGUGUGCGUGCAGGAAACCAACAGUCUUCGAUGUAGUGAGAGCUGGCUGUCUUGUCUGCUGGAUGAGGAGCAAGCCGUAGCUGCAAGUCGCUGAGCAUGGUGGUGCUAUUGUGAGGAUCUAUGUCUCUCUCACUCUAUAAAAUGUCCGUGGAUGCAUUGUUAGGUGACAAGUUGCUGUGGGUUGUACGAUUUCCAUCUCUCAUCAGUUGAAAUUUUCACCUGGAAUACCGGUGGCAUACGUGUUGUUAAAUUUGGUCAGGCAGCUUGGAAGCAGAUACAAAUAAGAAAUGUUCCCUUGCUUUGGUUGGAUGGGUGUAGAAGCAGCAAGCAUCGCCGCCACACGGAAAACUCCAGUAACUUCUUGUCCCUUCCAGCCUCGGAUCACGAACGACUUCAAGCUGAAGAUGUUGAACCAUGCGAUGCAAGAAUUAUUAUUUUGGGCUCCUAUGGAAGGUAUUAUUCUCGUGCAAAACCCUAUUCUCCCGUCUUUCUUGAUCUAUUAGGGUCAUAAAUCUGGAAUCGUGGUUUACUAUUUGAAAGUCCAUGGUCAGUCUUAGCCUCAUUCUCUUGAUUAACAGCAGAUUUAUGCUCUUCCUGUUGUAUUCAGUCAAGGAACGUACAUAGAUAUUGGAAGCUAUACACUAUAAUGGAAUUUCUUCUGCUCUCACUCAUGUAAUUGCUGUCAAGAACACUGUCAGUUCAGCGGUUGUCAUCAUGCAAGCAAUUGGCCGCUGAUCUGCUUGCUCUUUGUACUACUAAAGGUAAAUUUUGAACAAUUUUUACUGCCAUUGUUGCAAGGAAAGUUGGUGACGCUGGCGUGUCUCAGUAGAUGCAAAAUAAUAUAUGGUGGCGUAGAAUGAACCUAUACUUUCCAUAGUGUAUUUGACUUCUAUUCAUACCUGUGUACAACCAUAUGAACCUAUAUAUGCUAUCUGAAUUUAGUGGCGGUUUAUUUCAAUUUGUCACUUGGUCAGUAAGUUCGCACCAACGAGAUUGCAUAUGUGGUCUAUUGAAGUUGCAGAUAUAAGUUCAUUGCAUCAAAAAGUUUCAUUUCUUCACUUUUAUGUAGUGAUGCCAAUAAUGUUUCAAUUUAAAAAAAAAUCGACUACAUAUGUGAGUGUGAAUAUAUAGGUAGUGCAAUUAAGUACUCUCAAGAUAUUAAUUUCUAUCUUUUCUGCACUAAUUGUUUAUUCCUUGUUUUGUUUGUACUGUUGCUUUGCCACUGACCCGUAAAAUUGGAUGUUCUUUCAAGAAGAGUCUCUCUUUUCUACACUAAUUGACUUUUUCCCUCCCACCCGGGUAUGAAGGGCAGUGUUUUUUCCCUCCCAGUAAAUUACACUAUUUUCAGGUGGCAUCAUACGGCGAAGCAGGGGAUAUGGAUCAGAAGCCGCAAUGGUGCGCGUGACGACAUGUCUAACACUUGCCUGACCCUGGACUCUGGCUUCUUCUUGCAAGUUGACCAUAGUAUUGUGAGAAUCUCGGCCAGGAUCAUUCUUUAUAUCAUGUUGGAUCAUCUUGGAAUUUGUAGAGUAAUUUAUCGUCUAAGGAUGUACUCACAGAACACAAUCAGUGUGGUUGUGCUUUUCUACACUUCUGUCCAGAGCAAUGGGAUAUGUAUUCUGUACUGUACGGCUACCCUCUAAUGCAUUUCUCAGACUUCAGUCUGUCUCUUUCUGCACAAAUGACUUGGUCUAAUUAUUAUGAAAUACC
Molecule: long non-coding RNA, 2104 nt
Organism: Triticum aestivum (bread wheat)
Lineage: Eukaryota; Viridiplantae; Streptophyta; Magnoliopsida; Poales; Poaceae
Exons: 8
Source: RefSeq, a predicted model, not a curated record